AGAGUUUGAUCAUGGCUCAGGACGAACGCUGGCGGCGUGCUUAACACAUGCAAGUCGAGCGGAAAGGCCCUUCGGGGUACUCGAGCGGCGAACGGGUGAGUAACACGUGAGUAAUCUGCCCCUAGCUCUGGGAUAGCUCCGGGAAACCGGGAUUAAUACCGGAUAUGACCACUACGGACAUCUGUUUUGGUGGAAAGAAUUUCGGCUAGGGAUGAGCUCGCGGCCUAUCAGCUUGUUGGUGGGGUAACGGCCUACCAAGGCGACGACGGGUAGCCGGCCUGAGAGGGCGACCGGCCACACUGGGACUGAGACACGGCCCAGACUCCUACGGGAGGCAGCAGUGGGGAAUAUUGCGCAAUGGGCGAAAGCCUGACGCAGCGACGCCGCGUGGGGGAUGAAGGCCUUCGGGUUGUAAACCCCUUUCAGCAGGGACGAAGCGAGAGUGACGGUACCUGCAGAAGAAGCGCCGGCUAACUACGUGCCAGCAGCCGCGGUAACACGUAGGGCGCAAGCGUUGUCCGGAAUUAUUGGGCGUAAAGAGCUCGUAGGCGGUCUGUUGCGUCCGCUGUGAAAACUCGGGGCUUAACCCCGAGCCUGCAGUGGAUACGGGCAGACUAGAGGUAGGUAGGGGAGAAUGGAAUUCCCGGUGUAGCGGUGAAAUGCGCAGAUAUCGGGAGGAACACCGGUGGCGAAGGCGGUUCUCUGGGCCUUACCUGACGCUGAGGAGCGAAAGCGUGGGGAGCGAACAGGAUUAGAUACCCUAGUAGUCC
Molecule: ribosomal RNA, 770 nt
Filed under: uncultured bacterium
Lineage: Bacteria
Description: bacterial SSU rRNA
Rfam family: Bacterial small subunit ribosomal RNA
Source: RNAcentral